AGCAGCCGCGGUAAUUCCAGCUCCAAUAGCGUAUAUUAAAGUUGUUGCAGUUAAAAAGCUCGUAGUUGAAUUUCGGGGUCAAUAAGUUGGUCGUGCCAAUGGUAUGUACUGGCUUUAUUGAUUCCUACCUCUUGACGAACUGUGAUGCCAUUAAUUUGGUGUUGCAGGAAAUCAGGACUGUUACCUUGAAAAAUUAGAGUGUUUAAAGCAGGCUUACGCUUGAAUACAUUAGCAUGGAAUAAUGAAAUAGGACGUUUGAACCUAUUUUGUUGGUUUCUAGGAUCGACGUAAUGAUUAAUAGGGAUAGUUGGGGGCAUUAGUAUUCAAUUGUCAGAGGUGAAAUUCUUGGAUUUAUUGAAGACUAACUACUGCGAAAGCAUUUGCCAAGGAUGUUUUCAUUAAUCAAGAACGAAAGUUAGGGGAUCGAAGACGAUCAGAUACCGUCGUAGU
RNAcentral lists this ribosomal RNA (450 nucleotides) under uncultured Glomus. RNAcentral's name for it is "SSU rRNA". It matches the Rfam family "Eukaryotic small subunit ribosomal RNA", at positions 569 to 1024 of the family's 1831-position model. Lineage: Eukaryota; Fungi; Glomeromycota; Glomeromycetes; Glomerales; Glomeraceae. The record is from RNAcentral.